AUGGAGAACAAGAAACAAGAGAGACACAUAAGGAAGGAGAGAAGCUUCACUCACAUGCCGCGGGUGUUGGAGAUGGAGGAGGGGAGUCACCACCACAACCACCACCACCACCACAACCCAAGGCUGUCCAGAAGUGUCUCAUUUUAUAGGGUGAGCGAGGCGCGGGGUGGACAGGCAGAUACCACAGGGAUGAAGAAGGAACGCAGUUUUGUCAAGCACCACCACCACCACAACCACCACCACAACCAGCAGCAGCAACAACAACAACAACAACAACAACAACAACAACAACAACAACAACAACAACAACAACAGUACCACAACAACAGCAACAACAACAAGAAUUAUUCUCGGGAACAGCUGCGGAGAAGGAGUGCAAUGCCUGCCACUAACAGAAGCAAACCCGCCAUGGAACUGUACCGCCCCCCGACCCUGCGAGGACCCGGCUUAUUUGACAACGGAGAGGCGAUGUACAACGGGAAGGUGACACAGAACGGUGGCUACGGUGACCCGCGCUCCAGCCUUAACGUCAACGCCAAGGAGUUUGUGUCCUCGGGCGCCUCAAACAGACCCCAGACGCUCCAGCACUCGAAGUCUUCAAGCAGCGUGCCCUUCCAGGGCCGCCAGGGGGGUCUGCAACACUCCAAAUCAGGGAGCAACUUACGACAGACCGCCCCGCAACACUCAGGGUACGGCGCCCCCCCUCACGACCCGCCUCCCGCCUCCACCUCUCCCCCCAGGGUCCACUUCAGCGACGACAAGGAAAACGACCCGGAUAUGAAGUGCGGCCCACAUUCACGCCCUCCUUCCCUGGCGGUGGGCGCGUUCACUCAGCUGGGGAUCAAGCGCUCUAAGUCUCUGGGCUCGGCUGAUCUGCGCGCCUCCCAGCUCCUUGAGUCCUGCACCGCCAUGCCUGACCUCGGACCCUUCUCGCCCGAGGUCAUGAACAGCAUCACUCGCGCCACUAACGACCCGAACAGUGUGAGUGCCCGCCAGCUGAUGGAGGUUGUGCGCCACGUGUUCACCCGCGUCGUGGAGGCCUCGAGACACGCCGAGCCCGCCGCCAGACUCUGCAUCUCCAUCAUUCAGAAGGAGAAGAACGAGACUUUUCUGGAGACUUUGCUGAACACGUGCCAAGAAUACUUCCAGGAGCGAGAUCGUCUGCUGAGGAACAACCCGCCCGCCCCCUACCCUGGCUUCGUGCCCGCCCACCCUCGCUGGAUCGCCUACAUGACCUUCCUCAACGAAAUGUACACACAGCUGAAGAGGCGACACGUGCAGCUGAUGACGAAGAGAAUGCGGAACAGCGAGACACCGCCAGGCCUGCUGCUGCUGACGCUGCUGGCCCAAUGUUGCCAGGUGUGCCUCAAGGAAAACGCCGUCAACAGCCUGGCAGAGACUGAGUGCCUGUUCUUCGUGCUGACGGGCGUGGGGAAGGACAUCGAGGUGGAGCUGCCGCACCAGAUGGGGCGCGUCAUGACCGCCGCGCGGGACGCCUUCCUUACCACAGUGCGCGUGCCUGCCGUGCGCAAGACUCUGCUGCAGCUCAUCGAGAUGCACGCCGCCCGCUGGCAGCUGCCCGCCCCGGCCGUCAUGUACUACUACCCGGGCUCCGGCAGCAAGUAGUGGCGCAGCCCCGCCACCCCGCCGCCGCCCCGACACACAGAGCCCGCCACAGCCUGGAGCCUCGGGGACCGGCCGUGACACGGGGCCUGCUGCUGCUGACCCCGCCGCCGUCGCCGCCGUCACUGCCACCGCCGCCACGCUGAGGGGUGCCUGAGGACGUGCUGCCCCUGGGCGUGCGUGGAAGUGGACGGGGCCGUGGCGGGGCGGGGGCGGGGCACAGCCAGGCCCACACAGCUCAUCGAUCGACCGAUUUUUAAACGAUUCUCGAUAUUCCGAGUGUCGGCAGCAGCGCUGACACGAGGCCGCUCAGCGAGGCCGCGCCCAGCCUCGCCCCGCCUGCUGCUGGGCGCGGCGCGGCGCCACGAGGACGACUGUGAGGCGCCAAGGAGAGGCCGCCGCCGCCGCCGCCGCCGUUGUCACAGUGGUGGCGGCGCUCGCGAGGGAGAGUUGGAUUUUGUAUUUUUGUUUCACCCGGCGGGGGCGCAGCUGGCGCCGCGCCGCCCCUGCCGCCCUACAAGGGUUUGUCUGGCGUCGGCGAGGCGCCGCACGGCCGCCUCUCGCCUUGUGCUGCAACACUUGGUCUGCACGCCCCGCCCCGCCCCGCCCAGGGACUCCCUAUUCACGUAUUAUUAACACAACAUAUUAUUUGUACCGCCGUCCAGGGCCGGGCGGGGCGCUGGCCACGUGCCCGAGGCGUGUGUGUGCGUGUGUGUGUGCGUGCGUGCGUGCGUGCGUGCGUGCGUGUGUGCGCGCGCGUGUGUGUACAUAGGGGCGCCGCCCCAGCCCAGCAGUGCUUUAAGAUAAUCUAGUCUUUCCUCUACUGACGCGCCUGUGUGUUCCUCACACAGUAAUGAGUUCACACACAAUACAAUACAUACAGUUAUUUAUUGCGACAGUCACAGUGUCCUGCGGUGUACAGUAGUGAGUCCAUGGCUGUUUAACGUGUUUGAUAUUCAGGGACAACAUAACCCACAGGGGACGCGUCCUUCCAGGGGCAGGGCGCCCCCGACUCCCCAGCCCGGCCCAGCCCGGCCCUUAGUCAGUGUUACAGGUGACAUCUCAUCUAUUUGUGCUAUGAAUAAAGUCAACGUUUGUA
Molecule: unclassified non-coding RNA, 2722 nt
Filed under: Portunus trituberculatus (swimming crab)
Lineage: Eukaryota; Metazoa; Arthropoda; Malacostraca; Decapoda; Portunidae
Description: dNA N6-methyl adenine demethylase-like, transcript variant X5
Source: RNAcentral